AUUACCGAAGCAUACGAGAGNNUGUAGCUGCCUUUACUCAAGGAUGUGCACGCCUUUCANUCUUGCAUCNCAACCACCUGCUGAACCUGUUAGUACACUGUGAUUGGCGUUUCACUGAAAAUGUGGAUAGAGAGCUUGCUGAACUGCUUGCUUUCAAUCAANUACGAGUCUACUCAUUUAUACACACUUUAUUUAAACCUUUGAAUGUAUUAUGUUUUGGUUGUAAUGACCUAUAACAUAUUAAAUACAACUUUCAGCAACGGAUCUCUUGGUCUCUCGCNUCGAUGAAGAACGCAGCGAAAUGCGAUAAGNAAUGUGAAUUGCAUGAAUCUCAGUGAAUCAUCGCAAUCUUUGAACGCACCUUGCACCCUUUGGUAUUCCGAAGGGUAUGCCUGUUUGAGUGUCAUUAAAUUCUCAAUCCUUUAAAGCUUUAUUGAUUUGAACGCAUUGGAUGUGAGGAUUAUUGCUGGCUUUAUUUUAAGUUGGCUCCUCUUAAAUGCAUUAGUGGCUUCUUUGAAGGAUCCACAUAUAAUGUGUGAUAGNAUAUCUACNUCAUAUAAUGGCUAGGUCAUGUAAAAA
RNAcentral lists this ribosomal RNA (579 nucleotides) under uncultured Agaricales. RNAcentral's name for it is "eukaryotic LSU rRNA". The stretch from base 249 to 406 matches the Rfam family "5.8S ribosomal RNA". The record is from RNAcentral. Lineage: Eukaryota; Fungi; Basidiomycota; Agaricomycetes; Agaricales.